ACCUCUCUGGAGUGUGUACAUCAUGUCAUGUCUGUGUGAAAUCAGCUGGGCUGGUGGCAUUCACACCACAGCAAUUGGCAAAUGCUGCGAAUCAGGGUUCCCUGACUUAAAAGCCGGCUGUUGAACACUGGCCUGCACACCACUGCGUCUUCCCAGAGUAGUAUCAGCUGAGCCUCUUGAUUUUGUGGAAGGAAAGCUGAAGCAGCAUGAGAAGUUCAAGUUCAGUGUAAAACCUGCCUGUGACCAUUUCAAGAUCACCAUAGUGUUGGAGUAAGUGCCAUCGAGUGAGAGCUCCAGGUAAGCCUGGUAGCACGCAGCCCACUCACUGGCCCCGAUGCUGGGAGAUGUUCACUCCCUUUCCAGAUGAGAGACCAAAGGUUUGGAAAGUUGAGCCAACCCAAUGUCAACAGGCAGAGGUUGCAAGAAUGUGAUCCCUGAUUUCAAGCUCUCCUUGUUUAA
RNAcentral lists this long non-coding RNA (459 nucleotides) under Homo sapiens (human). Its description in RNAcentral is "HSALNT0235069". The record is from RNAcentral. Lineage: Eukaryota; Metazoa; Chordata; Mammalia; Primates; Hominidae.